UGGCGCGACGCGGUCGUGGACGACGCGGCGGCCGGCGUCUUGGGCGGCGAGCUCGGCAGGCUCAUGGACAGGUCGAGGUCGAGGUCGAGGUUGAGGUCGGGGCACCGCGGCGCGUCCGAGCUGCCGCCGC
This 130-nucleotide unclassified non-coding RNA is filed under the name Oryza sativa (Asian cultivated rice). Its description in RNAcentral is "partial microRNA MIR499 precursor". The record is from RNAcentral. Lineage: Eukaryota; Viridiplantae; Streptophyta; Magnoliopsida; Poales; Poaceae.